RNAcentral lists this ribosomal RNA (546 nucleotides) under uncultured Bacteroidota bacterium. RNAcentral's name for it is "bacterial SSU rRNA". It matches the Rfam family "Bacterial small subunit ribosomal RNA", at positions 66 to 620 of the family's 1533-position model. The record is from RNAcentral. Lineage: Bacteria; Pseudomonadati; Bacteroidota.
ACGGUGGUCUUCGGACAUAGUGGCGCACGGGUGCGUAACACGUCAUGCAACCUACCUUACAUUGGGGGAUAGCCUUCCGAAAGGGAGAUUAAUACCGCAUAAGACAGUAGCUGGGCAUCCAGCAGCUGUUAAAGAUUUAUCGAUGUAAGCUGGGCAUGCGUCCAAUUAGCUAGUUGGUGAGGUAACGGCUCACCAAGGCUUUGAUUGGUAGGGGAACUGAGAGGUCAAUCCCCCACACUGGCACUGAGAUACGGGCCAGACUCCUACGGGAGGCAGCAGUAGGGAAUAUUGGGCAAUGGACGCAAGUCUGACCCAGUCAUGCCGCGUGCAGGAUGAAGGCGUUAUGCGUUGUAAACUGCUUUUAUACAGGAAGAAACGACUCUUGCGAGAGGCAUUGACGGUACUGUAUGAAUAAGCACCGGCUAACUCCGUGCCAGCAGCCGCGGUAAUACGGAGGGUGCAAGCGUUGUCCGGAUUUAUUGGGUUUAAAGGGUGCGCAGGUGGUUUAUUAAGUCAGUGGUGAAAGACGGUCGCUCAACGAUUGCA